Molecule: non-coding RNA, 24 nt
Filed under: Arabidopsis thaliana (thale cress)
Lineage: Eukaryota; Viridiplantae; Streptophyta; Magnoliopsida; Brassicales; Brassicaceae
Source: RNAcentral
UCUGCGAGGCUGGUGUUGUGGUAA